This 109-nucleotide ribosomal RNA is filed under the name uncultured bacterium. Its description in RNAcentral is "partial 16S ribosomal RNA". The record is from RNAcentral.
UGUUGCGGUGAAUACGUUCCGGGUCUUGUACACACCGCCCGUCAAACCAUGAAAGUGACCAACACCGAAGUCCGAUUCGUCGGCCUAAGGUGGGGGCAUGAGUUGGGUU